RNAcentral lists this long non-coding RNA (3280 nucleotides) under Daphnia magna. Its description in RNAcentral is "uncharacterized LOC116925258, transcript variant X3". Lineage: Eukaryota; Metazoa; Arthropoda; Branchiopoda; Diplostraca; Daphniidae. The record is from RNAcentral.
AGUAUAUUUAGAUAGCUAAAUCUUUAACCCAAGAAAGGGUUUGCUACAUCUUCCGCUAGAAAAGAGAACAUUAUUGAUAAAAUAGGUAAACGAUUCUAACAAUUUUCUUAAUAUUAAUAAACUUGUAGUCUAGUUACAGGAUUUCUGAAUGGUCACAAGAUAUCGUGACGUCUCCAUUAGCAGCUGAUUUCUGUUUUCUUAUUGGAGGUGUCAUCGUCAUUUUUAAUAGGCCAAUUUAUAUUCUUCUUUGUGGGAAGGUUAUCCCAAGGCAAACGGUGCUUUGUCAUUUGUCGCCAGAUUGUUAUAAAAGUGCCAUAAGCGUAAAGAAAUUACGAAGACGGUGUAGGAUCACCCAUAAGGACGGCUACGUUAUCGGAGCAUAAUCCUGCUUCAAAGUCCGCUUGUGUUUCGCAUUCGACAGCACGAAAACCGACAUCACUGUUAAUGGACUCAACAAACCAGGUUGGAACUGGCCACCAUUAGGAUAGAAGUCAACAUGCCCAAUUGGGGGUAAGAAACCUUGCUGAUCGUGCAACAGAGUACCACCGUUUGUAUGAAUUAUGUCGACAAAAUCACCGUCCGUCGUGUCCAAUCGCGUAUCCGUUUCAUUGAGGGAGAAUAACGGUCCUGCUGGAUCCAAACCUGCAAUGGUUAUACGAGGAAUUCUUCCUAGAGUCACCGCGGCUCCAGCUCCUCCAACGACAUGAGCUCCAAGGCUGUGACCCAUCAAGUGAAUGGACUCGAAAGGAGCUCCUGUGUUCCCGACAAGGAAGUCGAUGAACUGGCUAUUGCACAACGGCAGCACCCGGGCCAUCGUGCAAUCCAUGAGCAAAGAACUUGGUUGGUAGUGAUGGAUCAUAGAAAGACUGCUCCAGUGCUUGCAAGUUAUCUAAUUCAAGGAUUUGAGCCUGCGUUGGAUUAAACCUUAAUUUCAUGAAACACAAUCAACGUUGACUUGGAGCCGCUCUUGCAGCAUUGGAGCCAAAAGGCGCUAUUUAAGACAUAGCACCAAAUAGGAAGCAACAGAAAAGCUAAAGAUGUAAUCACCAAUCGAAACACGAUCAUGUUCGUUUUGUAUUUUCUUCUCGUGACACAAGAUUGACAACACUAACUCGACACCAGCUCCACUGGUGGACAUAUUUUAUAGCCUUGACUGUGCACAUGGUUUGGUUAUCAUUGUAGGUAUCACGUCUUAAAUAUCGUUCGUUUAUACGCAGUUAAUCCUAAAUGAUUGACAGCUGAUGGACAGUAACUUAGAUAAUCUUUUUAUUUGUAGAGUUCAGUGUCUCUUAUUUAUUCUAUAAAAUAUUGGUAAUAAUUUUAUUAGUUCAUAAAGGAUGUUAAAAUUCUGCCAAGAACAACCCGAAAGGUACUGAUCCACUACACCAUCUAUCCUUUUGCAUAAGGUGAUGCGUCGUUGGUGGUUAGGUAAAAUGCGCCAGUAGCUCUUGAAAAUUUCAAAAAUAUUGUCAAUUUCUCACAUAGUAUGUUUUAUUCUGUAAAUACUAUCAAACGAGUAAAAGACUUAUUGAAUCAUUACGUUUCCGGAACGUAUUCCCCCAUCAAAACGGAUUCAUUUUCAUUGCAGGCGCCGGAUAAGAAUGUGUCCCAGGAGUCACAACGGACGGCACGGAAUCCCACCUCGCUUGUAAUGGAUUCGGUGAAAUAACUUUUCGUACUUGUGACGCCUUCGCAUCCUGGCUGGACGAGCCCACCAUUAGGGAAGAAGUCGAUAUGACCGAUCGGAACCGUAAAUCUACCCUCCGUGUGGAUAAUGUCAACAAAAUUAGCGUCACUCACGUCCAGCCUUUCAUCAACAUCAUCAAGAGGGAAGAACUCGUCUGUGUGAGAAGGAUCUAAUCCUGCAGAAAAAUCCACGAAGUUCCAGCUGCCUCUCUUUCUAGGGUAAGUGUGAUUUUACCUGUAAUCCUGGCCACUCUUCCUCCAGAUGCUAUUGCGGCUCCUGCGAAUCCAACUACAUGCGCUCCAAAACUAUACUGGGAAUGGUUAUUAAGUAACAUCAGUUUGAAGCCUGGAAUUUUUUUGUACCGUGAGGGACGUACCUAUGUCCAGUGAGAUGAAAAUCGUCUAACAUGGCUCCAUGUGAAACGAGAAAAUUUAUAAACUGUCCGGUAAGUGUGCCAGCUAGAGGUACGUAAUUGGUGGCAACGUAUGAGUAAUUUCCAGUAGCCAUAGUGGACCAAUCGACAGCAAUAAAAUUGCAGUCUUGUUUCUCCAAAUACCCUUGAAAUGAUAACGGCAUUUCAUUUUAUAAUUUUAAUAGCACAAAAUUUUGGUGCAAUGAGAAUACCGUUUUUCGUGGGGUAGCUGUAUGUAGGUGAGCUGUUCAGUCCAUGAGCAAAGAGCUUGGUCUCCAAGCUUUUAUUGUAAUUGGAUUGAAAAAGUAAUGUAGUGUCGUCCAGCUCUAGUAUUUGGGGUUCAUUUGAGUUUUUUCUGUUUACAGCUCUCUCAAUAAGGCAGAAAAUGUAUUAACUGUUCUGUUUUCUUUACAUACCUGGUGAAUAACUGAAAGGAAAUUUCCUCUACCAGUUCUUCUGUCGUUCCUGUUUUCAAUUUUUGAGAUAUGUGUACUUGUGUCAACAGUGAUACUUUGUAAACAAAAUAGAAAAAUGAAUGCAUUAACUCACCAAAAUGGAUGCAAGACAGCUGCAUCAGCAAGAUUAAUGUGUAGGCACCAAAAAGCUUCUUUGGAAACAUUUUAUUUAUCUAUUUAUGUUUUUACCUUCCAGUUGGGGGCUGGGAGCUUUACAGUGAAGAAAGUUAUAUUUAUGUGUGGAUAACUUGGUUAUAAACUGAAACUUUGAAACAGUUCCAUUGGAAGGUCUCUACAUUGUAAAAAUGGAAUAGCAACUUAUCAGUAGAGACAAGAGUGUUGAUUGAUGCAUGGCGUCCUGAUAACAACAAUCUGAAGGUGAAAAUGAUGUGGGAAAAAAAUAAUAAUUGCCAGAAAUUUCAAAAAAGAAUUAAAUUAAAAAAGAAUACCUAGAAAUUAUUCUGUGAUUCUGCAUGAUAGAUUUAACUUCAUCUUCCUAAGUUUCCCGAUAGGGAUUGUACCCAAAGCUAUAUGCUAACAUAAGUAAUUCUGGACUAAUCUCAGUAUUCAAGGAUCAUAGCUCUGUGGUAGAACGUUGGUUAAUGGAUCCAAAGGUCUCGUGUUCGUACCCCGGCUGAAGGAUAAUAAAUUGAAAGAAAACGUAUAUUGUUAUUUCAUUGUGUUUCUAAUAGAUGAAUUUAUAUGUUAAUAAUAAAUUAUCUUGAA